This 460-nucleotide ribosomal RNA is filed under the name uncultured bacterium. RNAcentral describes it as "partial 16S ribosomal RNA". It matches the Rfam family "Bacterial small subunit ribosomal RNA", at positions 338 to 795 of the family's 1533-position model. The record is from RNAcentral.
CCUACGGGUGGCAGCAGUGAGGAAUAUUGGUCAAUGGGCGCGAGCCUGACCCAGCCAAGUCGCGUGAAUGAUGACUGCCCUCCGGGUUGUAAACUUCUUUUAUAAAGGAAUAAAGUGAGGCACUUGUGCCUUUUUGUAUGUCCUUUAUGAAUAUGGAUCGGCUAACUCCGUUCCAGCAGCCGCGGUAAUACGGAGGAUCCGAGCGUUAUCCGGAUUUAUUGGGUUUAAAGGGAGCGUAGAUGGGUUGUUAAGUCAGUUGUGAAAGUUUGCGGCUCAACCGUAAAAUUGCAAUUGAUACUGGCAGUCUUGAGUACAGGUGAGGUAGGCGGAAUUCGUGGUGUAGCGGUGAAAUGCUUAGAUAUCACGAAGAACUCCGAUGGCGAAGGCAGCUUACUAAACUGCCACUGACACUGAUGCUCGAAAGUGUGGGGAUCAAACAGGAUUAGAUACCCGGGUAGUC